RNAcentral lists this ribosomal RNA (472 nucleotides) under uncultured fungus. RNAcentral describes it as "eukaryotic LSU rRNA". The stretch from base 166 to 319 matches the Rfam family "5.8S ribosomal RNA". Lineage: Eukaryota; Fungi. The record is from RNAcentral.
CAUUAACAGGAUGGACCCGGCUCGCCGGUGCUCUGCCUACCUUGCAUAAUCUACCUUUGUUGCUUUGGCGGGGCGCCUCACGGCCAGCGGCUCCGGCUGCUGCGCCCCCGCCAGAGGACCCCAACUCUUGAUUUUAGUGAUGUCUGAGUACUAUAUAAUAGUUAAAACUUUCAACAACGGAUCUCUUGGUUCUGGCAUCGAUGAAGAACGCAGCGAAAUGCGAUAAGUAAUGUGAAUUGCAGAAUUUAGUGAAUCAUCGAAUCUUUGAACGCACAUUGCGCCCUUUGGUAUUCCGAAGGGCAUGCCUGUUCGAGCGUCAUUACAACCACUCAAGCCCUUGCUUGGUCUUGGGGUCCGCGGUCUCGCGGCCCCUAAAAUCAGUGGCGGUGCCGGUCGGCUCUACGCGUAGUAAUACUCCUCGCGACAGGGCCCGGACGGUGUCUUGCCAGCAACCCCCCAUUUUUUCAGGUUG